UAUACGACCGUACCGCAAACCGACACUGGUGCGCGAGAUGAGUAUUCUAAGGCGCUUGAGAGAACUCAGGAGAAGGAACUCGGCAAAUUGACACCGUAACUUCGGAAGAAGGUGUGCCCUAUUAGUGUGUAGUGAACAACGAAGCAUGAAUGGGUUGCAAAAAAUCGGUGGCUGCGACUGUUUAUUAAAAACACAGCACUCUGCAAACACGAAAGUGGACGUAUAGGGUGUGACGCCUGCCCGGUGCUGGAAGAUUAAAUGAUGGGGUGCAAGCUCUUGAUUGAAGUCCCAGUAAACGGCGGCCGUAACAAUAACGGUCCUAAGGUAGCGAAAUUCCUUGUCGGGUAAGUUCCGACCUGCACGAAUGGCGUAACGAUGGCCACACUGUCUCCUCCUGAGACUCAGCGAAGUUGAAAUGUUUGUGAUGAUGCAAUCUCCCCGCGGAAAGACGGAAAGACCCCAUGAACCUUUACUGUAGCUUUGUAUUGGACUUUGAACAGAUCUGUGUAGGAUAGGUGGGAGGCUUUGAAGCAGGGUCGCUAGAUCUUGUGGAGCCAACGUUGAAAUACCACCCUGGUGUGUUUGAGGUUCUAACCUAGGUCCAUUAUCUGGAUCGGGGACAGUGCAUGGUAGGCAGUUUGACUGGGGCGGUCUCCUCCCAAAGCGUAACGGAGGAGUUCGAAGGUACGCUAGUUACGGUCGGACAUCGUGACGAUAGUGCAAUGGCAUAAGCGUGCUUAACUGCGAGACUGACAAGUCGAGCAGAUGCGAAAGCAGGACAUAGUGAUCCGGUGGUUCUGUAUGGAAGGGCCAUCGCUCAACGGAUAAAAGGUACUCUGGGGAUAACAGGCUGAUACCGCCCAAGAGUUCAUAUCGACGGCGGUGUUUGGCACCUCGAUGUCGGCUCAUCUCAUCCUGGGGCUGUAGCCGGUCCCAAGGGUAUGGCUGUUCGCCAUUUAAAGAGGUACGUGAGCUGGGUUUAAAACGUCGUGAGACAGUUUGGUCCCUAUCUUCCGUGGGCGCUGCAGAUUUGAGGAAGCCUGCUCCUAGUACGAGAGGACCGGAGUGGACACACCUCUGGUGUAUCGGUUGUCACGCCAGUGGCAUUGCCGAGUAGCUAAGUGUGGAAGAGAUAACCGCUGAAAGCAUCUAAGCGGGAAACUCGUUUCAAGAUGAGAUCUGCCGGGGCCUUGAGCCCCCUAAAGAGUCGUUCAAGACCAGGACGUUGAUAGGUCAGGUGUGGAAGCUG
RNAcentral lists this ribosomal RNA (1249 nucleotides) under metagenome. RNAcentral describes it as "bacterial LSU rRNA". It matches the Rfam family "Bacterial large subunit ribosomal RNA", at positions 1635 to 2876 of the family's 2925-position model. The record is from RNAcentral.